This 291-nucleotide unclassified non-coding RNA is filed under the name Phanerochaete sordida. RNAcentral's name for it is "partial contains 5.8S ribosomal RNA, internal transcribed spacer 2, and large subunit ribosomal RNA". The record is from RNAcentral. Lineage: Eukaryota; Fungi; Basidiomycota; Agaricomycetes; Polyporales; Phanerochaetaceae.
CGCACCUUGCGCUCCCUGGUAUUCCGGGGAGCACGCCUGUUUGAGUGUCAUGGUAUUCUCAACCUUCAACACUUUUUGUAUUGAAGGCUUGGACUUGGAGGCUUGUGCCGGCUCUCGUUAGUCGGCUCCUCUGAAAUGCAUUAGCGUGAAUGUUAUGGAUCGCUUCGGUGUGAUAAUUAUCUGCGCCGUGGUCGUGAAGUAUUUGAAGUUUGCGCUUCUAAUCGUCCUUCACUGGACAAUUACCCUUUGACAUUUGACCUCAAAUCAGGCGGGACUACCCGCUGAACUUAA